CUUCUGAGUGAUCAUUACUUAUACUGUUAUGUUUUGUAAAAACCUGCUAUCAUUACUAAACAACAUUAGUUAAUUGUACUUUUUAGCUGAAAUAGUAAGUGCCACUAAUCCGGUUUAGUAGAAUUAACUUGGUGUGUUUAGUUUUAUAACAAAGGGGAGGGGCCUAAUUCAAAACUUCACUGGGCGCCCCACAAGGCCUCUGCAACGGAUUCAACGCGGACUCUGCGGGAGGGAAGAAAGCAGACUGUUGCCGACAUUUUCUCAGCAGCAUUGAACGCCUUGAACGAUCCUUGUGUUGUGAAGAUGCUGUGGAAGUGAUUCUUCGAAAGCUUUACGGUGGACAGAUUCUGCAGGUUCUGCAUGGCAACAAGGGACGAGAUGCAAGCCAAAGAGAUGACUGCAAACCAGAAAAUGACCAUGAGAGUCAUUCUAACAGAGGCAGAUAUAAGGAAAGUCAUCC
This is a long non-coding RNA of Oreochromis aureus, 460 nucleotides long. RefSeq lists it as uncharacterized. The transcript has 4 exons. The record is from RefSeq and is a predicted model, not a curated record. NCBI's taxonomy places the organism in Eukaryota, Metazoa, Chordata, Actinopteri, Cichliformes, Cichlidae.